CCUACGGGGGGCAGCAGUGAGGAAUAUUGCGCAAUGGCCGAAAGGCUGACGCAGCGACGCCGCGUGAGGGAUGAAGUCCGUUAGGAUGUAAACCUCUUUUGCAGGGGAUGAACGUCUCGCUAUACGCGGGAUUGACCGUACCCUGCGAAUAAGGAUCGGCUAACUACGUGCCAGCAGCCGCGGUAAUACGUAGGAUCCGAGCGUUGUCCUGAAUUUCUGGGGCGAGAGGGCGGGUAGGUAGGUCGCUGGUGAAAUCCCGCAGCUUAACUGCGGAAUUGCCUUCGAUACUGGGGAUCUUGAGUGCGGCAGAGGGAGAUGGAAUUCAUGGUGUAGCGGUGAAAUGUGUAGAUAUCAUGAAGAACACCGGUAGCGAAGGCGGUCUCCUGGUCCGUAACUGACACUGAUGCGCGAAAGCGUGGGGAGCAAACAGGAUUAGAUACCCGAGUAGUC
Molecule: ribosomal RNA, 450 nt
Filed under: uncultured bacterium
Lineage: Bacteria
Description: partial 16S ribosomal RNA
Rfam family: Bacterial small subunit ribosomal RNA
Source: RNAcentral